CGAUAUUUGACUCGAUUUUUAAAUUGUUUUCGAGAUAUUUUUUCUAAAUUCGGUUAUUGGUUCAAAGAUGUGCACAACAAAAUUCAAACCUCGCUGUCCUCGCAAAAUAUGAGCAAAGCCAAAGAAGAUAUUUGAAUCAGCGAGCUAUAAACAGGUAUUUGACCGUAUUUCAUUCAAUUUUAUUUAUGCUCUAUCUUAUCUCACAUAAAAUUGGUAGGCUUAACUUAAGCUUGACGAUGAAAUGCACUUAUUUUGUUAAGAAAACAGCCUUUUGCUGGUUUUUUGGUGUAAUUUGGCAUCUGUAUAUUUCAAAAUUUGGUUGCAGAAACUACAACUUUUUGUUAUUUAUAAAUUACUUUAGAAAAUGCUAUUAACUCCAGACGUUCCUUCAAAGCAAACGGUAUGUCACAUAUGUGUUUAAAUAAAUUCAGGUUUUGUGUAAUAUGUGCCAAGUUUGCAUACAAGGCUAAUCAAUGUCAAUGACAAGACUUUUUGAGUACUCAAAUAUUUCCCAAAAUACCUGUAUAUAACUUAUAUAUACCCCCUUCCCCCAAGAAAAUGUUGCUGUGUGAUGAAAAGAUAUUAUAUUAGCCAUUUACAACAUGUUGGGAGCUGCAGUGCACCCUGCUUAUUUUUUUACUAUUGUCUAACGCCAGACGAUUUUACUCAUCAAUGGGGAAGCUCUGCAGCUUAAAGGGUUUAACAAUUUGGAACACCAGGCUGUCCAGGCAUACUGGAUGGCAAUCUGGCAAUUACUUCGUAACUACUGUAUGUUGCUUCCCUUGCACUGGGAAGGUACCUUGUAUCCUGGCCACUUUUGAUUAUUAUACUAUUAACCCAUUAAGCUGCAGAGCUUCCCCAGUAAAUCAUCCGGCGUUAAACAAGUUAAAAAAAUAAGUAGGGUGCACUGCAGCUCAAUGUGUUAACUAGAGGCAUUGUCAGAUUUUUUGGUUAACCCAUUAAGCUGCAGAGCUUCCCCAAUUGACAAGUAAAAUCAUCUGGUAUCAGACAAGUAAAAAAAAGUAGGGCACGCUGGGGCGCAUUGCGGCUCAAUGGGUUAAGCCUGAUAAUUGCACCAAUGGUUCUGGUGUCUCUGAGUCGCAUUGUUUUCCCAUCAUCAUUUUUGUGCUCAAAGUUACAACAUGUAAUAUAUUUUUGUUUAUUCCAGAAUUAUCUCACAAUUGGGAUAUCAUAAUCUGCAUUUGUCCCGACUCACUCUGGUUUCCCAGUUAACCCAUAGAGUGGCUCUCCCAUUGACAAGUAAAAGUAGGGCAGGCAAAAUUACAAGCAAGAUGUAUGGAAAUUGAAGACACAAAAGCUGGAUUAAUUUUGAACUAUUUUAAUUGGACUUUUCAAUACAGUAAAAUUAUUAACAGUGAAUAAUUUUAAAUUAACACUAAAAUUAUUGUAAUUAAGUAUACAUGAUGUAAUGGAGUAUGUGUUAACGUAAUUCAGGGGUGGAUUAAUAGGGAGGGUGCACACCCCUGUUGGCCUUGGUCAAGAGGGGUGCAAUAGAAUCAAAUUCAGAAACAUGGCAUAAUUUCCAAGGUUUUCCCUUUUCUGAAGUCAAACUGAAGCUCAUAAUUCAAUGUCCAUAUCACAGGAAAUAGCAUCUAAUUUUCAAAAUUUUCUGGGGGCAUAUCCCUCAACCCCCUAGGGAGCUUGCGCCUUUAGUGCUUGAGUCGUUUCACCCCCACCACCCCCUAAAAAAUUAUAAAGAAACACUUGGCUGCUCACCCAGCACCCCCUAGAAAAACCUUGCUGGAUCCACCCCUGAAGGCUUUCAAGUAAUACUGUAAUUAUAGCAGGCAGUGCAGUACUUAUCAUAUCAUGCAAAUAAUUAUCAUAUUUAAUUGCACAGAUCCCAUAUGUAUAAACAAACACGAGCAUGCAAUGCAUUGUAGUUGACAAUGAUUCUUUAAUUAACUUAAUAAUAAAGGUUUAUACUUUUAUAAGUUAAUUAUCAUCACCAUCAUAGACAUAUUUUCAAAUUUUGCUUGGGGAGUGUGGGUGUGCAGAAAAGUGAGCAAGGAGCACGUAGUGUGCUGAGUAAGAUGCAGCAGAGUCUGAGGGUACAGUCACUAGUGGGGACACAGUUGGGGUAAGGUUGGGGGCAACGACCCCAGGAUAUUUCAAGAAUAUUGGCCUUGUUUUUUAGCCUUAUUUAGUUCAAAAUUCUUGUUCAAUUAUACUGCUGUCAUUUAAUCAAACCAGCAUUUAAAUUUCUGUGGUGGAAAAACUUUCUGAGGUGGUGAAGAUAUUAUUGGGGGUGCACCCCCCCCCAGAAAAUCCAUCAAUGAUUGCCAUCUGCAUUUUAAUGCCUUGUACAUCCCAUGUUUUGUGAUAUCUAUAGCCAAUAAUUCCUGCAAGAUAAAAGACAAUCAUAUUACACCA
Molecule: long non-coding RNA, 2394 nt
Filed under: Paramuricea clavata
Lineage: Eukaryota; Metazoa; Cnidaria; Anthozoa; Malacalcyonacea; Plexauridae
Source: RNAcentral